ACGCUGGCGGCGUGCUUAACACAUGCAAGUCGAACGAACCUUCGGGUUAGUGGCGGACGGGUGAGUAACGCGUGGGAAUCUGCCCUCAGGAGGGGGAUAACGGUUGGAAACGGCCGCUAAUACCCCAUAUGCCGAGAGGUGAAAUGAAUUUCGCCUGAGGAUGAGCCCGCGUCUGAUUAGCUAGUUGGUGAGGUAAGAGCUCACCAAGGCAUCGAUCAGUAGCUGGUCUGAGAGGAUGAUCAGCCACACUGGGACUGAGACACGGCCCAGACUCCUACGGGAGGCAGCAGUGGGGAAUUUUCCGCAAUGGGCGAAAGCCUGACGGAGCAACGCCGCGUGAGGGAUGAAGGCCUCUGGGCUGUAAACCUCUUUUAUCAAGGAAGAAGAUCUGACGGUACUUGAUGAAU
RNAcentral lists this ribosomal RNA (407 nucleotides) under uncultured cyanobacterium. Its description in RNAcentral is "bacterial SSU rRNA". It matches the Rfam family "Bacterial small subunit ribosomal RNA", at positions 33 to 487 of the family's 1533-position model. The record is from RNAcentral. Lineage: Bacteria; Bacillati; Cyanobacteriota.